Molecule: long non-coding RNA, 4202 nt
Filed under: Triticum aestivum (bread wheat)
Lineage: Eukaryota; Viridiplantae; Streptophyta; Magnoliopsida; Poales; Poaceae
Description: long non-coding RNA (TAES_LNC020632)
Source: RNAcentral
CACAUCACAACAACCAGUUUAACCUACAAAUGUUGCAUGCCCAGGAACAUAAAACUUCACGUACAUAACCAUACAAUAUUCCACACAAUCACAAAUAUUGCAAUUGAAAAAUAAAACGCUCUGCCAAGUUAAAGCUAUCUACUCUUGGAUACCACGGAACAUGCUCUUCAACAUAGGAAGAAGUCAUCAACGGUGUUCUACCAACAACACAAGCUCCAUUCACCUACAAGAACAGAAUGGAAUAUCAAGUACUUGGAUCGUUCAAGCAGAUUACAACCAACAUAUAUAUGUAGAAGUACAUCAAGAAAUAUGAUGGAGCAAGCGGACAACAAAUACAUUAAGUAAACAGCCCAACCGAUGAGUGAUGACGACAUGCAAAGAGUAUAAACCCAGGUUUGGACAUAAAUAGUGUCAACUCAAGCAGAACAUAAUAAGGCAGUAAACUCAAGCAGAACAUAAUUAAGUACAAUGAAAGGGACCAUCCAAUUAAAUUCCAUUCUUAUCUUCUUCAGUAAGGACAGGCAAAACAUCCCAUUUCUAGUAUUAUGUCUGAAAAAUCACUAGUGCUAUGUCUAAAAAAUCACUAGUAUUAUGUCUGAAAAAUCACUAGCUAGCACGCUGCGUUACUAGUCUGCCAAUUAUCCAUUUCUAGUGAAUUAUGUCCGAAAAAUGCAAUGGAACCGAAACGAAUUCAGGCAACACAACACGUAGAGCCACUGAAGAAAUGAAAUUGCGCAGGCGGUUCAGGAUAUAAUGACUCGCCCAGGCUCAUGAUACAAUGACUCGCACAUGGCUUGCAAGGCCAAAUAAGGAUAUUGACCCAUUAGGAAAAAGCACAAAAGUAUUGCCUACAUGGAUGUUUUAGUAUAACCAUGUACAUGCCGUGUACUGCAGCGUGAUGUCUCUAAUAUGGUUGUAUUCAUGUAAAUAGUACCCAGGAAAAAUAAUGUUAGAUAGGAUUUUUGUCAUUAGCCUGUACUUGUGAAAAUUGUAGACCAAAAGAUAUGUUUGCAUGGCUAAUAUUCUAGCAUAUACAGUACUUAAAUCUAUAGAUUUACCAUCCCUUUCAUAGUUAUAGCAUAUAAUAGAAAUCCAGCAACAUAAGUAAGCACAUAUCAUAAAUAAGUACUAGUUCUAUUGAAUUACAGAGAAAGAAAGAGAGUGAAAUAGAUAGGGAGAGAGAGCAGCAGCAGCAGUAGGGGGUUCAGACUUUAGAGAAGACCAGCAGCGAGGUUAGGAGAAGAAGAAGCAAGCGUGGGGAUGGAGAGAGGAGUAGCAGCGAGCAGCAAGAAACAUGUUCAGAGAAGAAGUGCAGCAGCAGGUUUAGUGGAUUCAGAGAAGAGGCAAGCAGCAGGAGGUGCAGAAAUAGAGGAGCAACAACAUGGUUAGCAGUAGCAGCGUGGGGACUUAGAGAGAGCAACAACUGUUUGAUGAUAUGCAGCAAAUCAAAUGAUUUUCCAUCGCAAUAUUCUGCAUACGACAACAACAACAUCAAUCAGUAAAAUUAGUAGCAUCUCGAUCACUGUAUAAUCAAUCAGUAGGCACAAAUAAAAUCAGCAAGCAUAGUAUAAAUCUGGUGCCCCAAAAGGCUAGCGAUGCAAAUAACAAAUCAAGUUCGUGGCUAACUUGUAAUUCUGGGAAAAAUGUAACGCAGUGAUGGCUCACAAUGAUGGCUUUGACAUAGCAGAGAGCAAACUAAAUAAAAAUAGCUUAGUUCACCCACUUGAAUAGAAUAACAACUCAUGUAAACGUUUAAUCAAAACAUCAUGCUUUGGUUUCAGUCAAGGUUUAAUCAAAUCAGCACAUACAAAACUGAACCAAGACCUGAUUUGUUUCAUACAAAACUGAACAUCAUAUUCUCCUGCCAUCCAAGCCACAACCCAGGUUCACAAUGGCUGCUCCUACACGUCUACGCAAGUACAUUACAUGUUAACUGAAGUAGAUCUCUAAAGCUGAGCGGCUGACCGACCAGUGGUUGUUGGGGCCUUCAAGCCAAAGCCUGCUGUUGCUACCAGGAGAAGACUCCAACAAGUCACAACCGACGGUGACCUUGCUCGGCUCAACCCAACAAGAUUCAGCUCAGCUUGCGACAGCCAAAAAAAGAGCAGAACGGUCGAGAUCCACAGACCAGAGCAGUCGAGAAUGAGAGAGGUAAGUCAGACUCUCUGGCCAUGUACCCAGAAAUAACCUAUCAAGUGCACAUGUACCCAGACUAAGGAUCUGGGGCGGAUCGAGCAGAGAGGACGGGGGAGCUCAUCUCGCGGCGGAGCGUGUGGUCGAAGGAGCAGCGGGCGAGGUUGGGGCGAGGCCAUAGUGGCCGGAGACGGAGGCUAACCACGCCUGUUCGAAGGAGCGUGUGAUCUCCGUCAUUGCAGCUUCUAGGAUAAUAAUAGACCAAAUUAACUAGAGAUGUACAAAUGUCCAAGCAUCUUUUAUUUAGGAUCAAAUUAAAUAAAGUUCCACCAAUGUCCAAGCAUCUUUUAUUUAGGAUCAAAUUAAGCUCCACAGAGAUGUACAAAUACAAUAUAUAUGAGACUAUAAAGCAUGCAUGAGACUGAGACCAGAUGUAACACAGAAGACAGAAAGUGUGCAAGAUACUCUUGUCAAGUGUAACUUAUGCCAGGUCUGAAUUGCCAUAUAUGCAUUAUUAAUUUGAAUGAGUCAAAUGGAACAUUCUACUAGUAGUGUGUAAGAGCAUGCUAACCAGAUCGACUUAGCCUAGUCAGAGAAAUACUAGCUAGGACUAGCCCCUUGCAAACAUACCCGGAAAAUGCUGGGAACAACAAUACUAGUGACACAUGUGCAAGACGUGCGGCAGCUAACCUAACAAAACCGCGUGUGCAGAAGCACUCCCAACAAAGAGAUCCAUGGAAGCUCAGGAGCUUGAUUAAUCAGCAACCAACUGAAUGGAACCGAGCAAAGAAAACCAUGGCCAAAUCAUACGAGCAUGUGACGCGAUCGAGGUGAAAUUGCAGCAUACAGAUUAAGAGGCUCCUGAUUCCAACACCUAAAUAAACCCUAAAUCCUUGCGUGCGGGAGGCCGAGGUGCACGAACUGGGGUCCAAUCGGACCCAACNNNNNNNNNNNNNNNNNNNNNNNNNNNNNNNNNNNNNNNNNNNNNNNNNNNNNNNNNNNNNNNNNNNNNNNNNGGGGGGGUGGAUGGAAGAUGUCCAAAAGACAAUGCUAGGGUUUCGGCUGAGGUGCGGUUGAUGGGGCGGCAAGGGGUGAGGGCUGCUGUUGGAUCCGGGAGGAUCCAAUGAUGUUUAUGCAUGAUCUGCGUGUGUUAUUUUUGGACCAAUCAGAAUGCAAUAUAAUAUUAUGACCAUUUAAAUUGGUCGCAGUAGAUUUAAAUAUAAUAUGUUAAAUCAUGUUAGCUAUUUUCUUGACUUGAGAAAUUCGAACAAAUUGAAAAAAUGGAAAUCCUUCUCAUCAUGUCAUAAAAUGUGACCUAGUUUUAAGAAAAAAAUAAAUAACAAACUAGUAAUAAGACAAAUAUAUUUAAAAAAGUGUCCUUAGAAAUGCCUGUCAUACUUUUUUUCGAGUGUCUAGAAUGAUGUGGCACAAGAAUCAGCCCGGUCCGAUUCGACGUUUUACAUGGGCCAAGCCCAACAAUUCGGCAUUUUUACUGUAUAUUUUUUCUACUAAUUUUCUCUGGCUACACGGGCCUGUCCCAUCAAUUUGGCCUUUUUAUUAUCUAGGCAUGGCCUUUUGCGGUCCAUUUCAUUUUUAUUUUCAAGGGUUUUUUGCGGUCCAGUUUUUAGAUGGGUCCCAAUUGUCAGAUUUUUCCUAGCAGUGGAUCCACAUCACUUUUUAAGCAGUAUAUAUCAAACAGAAAGAAGAGAAUAAUUUGAAAAUCUUCGAAGAACAACCAAAAUAGGUUUAUUACAAUAUAUUAUGUACAUAAUAGAACAUGUGGAACUCCAUACAUUGGUUCACAUCACAACAACCAGUUUAACCUACAAAUGUUGCAUGCCCAGGAACAUAAAACUUCACGUACAUAACCAUACAAUAUUCCACACAAUCACAAAUAUUGCAAUUGAAAAAUAAAACGCUCUGCCAAGUUAAAGCUAUCUACUCUUGGAUACCACGGAACAUGCUCUUCAACAUAGGAAGAAGUCAUCAACGGUGUUCUACCAACAACACAAGCUCCAUUCACCUACAAGAACAGAAUGGAAUAUCAAGUACUUGGAUCGUUCAAGCAG